CAGGGUGAGGGGAGGAAUCUCUGAGAUGUUGCUGAGACAGAAGAGUUCCACAGAUCCCUCCAGCAUGCAGGCUGCAGCUGCUGAAGGUUGUUGAGCCUUUUCAUUAGGAAGAAAUGUAAGGAUGGUGUGUGAAAACCACACGGAUGUAAACUUAAAGAACAGUACAGAAGCAUGUUAAGAACAAAACCUUGUAAGCUACCUUCUCCAAGAUAUAAUAAUACACUGAAAAGCUGAAAUUUCCUUAUGAAAUAAAAUUGUACUUGGAAAUGUCAGGCCUGCACAGACCAAUGAUCCAGGAGUCGCUGAAGGCAGUGUAUCGGAAGAAGCCUCUCCAUGUGCUGAAUGCUGCGGCCAAGAAGAGAGUCUCUUGCCAGAACCAGCCAUAACCUCUUUCCCCAUAUGCCAAGAGCUAUACCCAGUAUACAAACCCUGUCACAAGCAGUGUCUAAGGGCAGUUUGGAUGCAUCCAGCUUGACUUGCAGGGCAGCAGUGGUGGGCAUGAGGAAUGCGGGCGUGAGCCGUGCCAUGUCAUUUGGCGCUUUCACCGUGUUUAGUAAUAAAGACACAGGCUAUGAAAUUC
Long non-coding RNA from Corvus hawaiiensis (hawaiian crow), 580 nucleotides. RefSeq lists it as uncharacterized. The transcript is spliced from 3 exons. Lineage: Eukaryota; Metazoa; Chordata; Aves; Passeriformes; Corvidae. The record is from RefSeq and is a predicted model, not a curated record.